GACGAACGCUGGCGGCGUGCUUAACACAUGCAGGUCGAACGGAAAGGCCCUGCUUUUGUGGGGUGCUCGAGUGGCGAACGGGUGAGUAACACGUGAGUAACCUGCCCUUGACUUUGGGAUAACUUCAGGAAACUGGGGCUAAUACCGGAUAGGAGCUCCUGCUGCAUGGUGGGGGUUGGAAAGUUUCGGCGGUUGGGGAUGGACUCGCGGCUUAUCAGCUUGUUGGUGGGGUAGUGGCUUACCAAGGCUUUGACGGGUAGCCGGCCUGAGAGGGUGACCGGCCACAUUGGGACUGAGAUACGGCCCAGACUCCUACGGGAGGCAGCAGUGGGGAAUAUUGCACAAUGGGCGGAAGCCUGAUGCAGCAACGCCGCGGGCGGGAUGACGGCCUUCGGGUUGUAAACCGCUUUCGCCUGUGACGAAGCGUGAGUGACGGUAAUGGGUAAAGAAGCACCGGCUAACUACGUGC
RNAcentral lists this ribosomal RNA (469 nucleotides) under uncultured bacterium. Its description in RNAcentral is "partial 16S ribosomal RNA". It matches the Rfam family "Bacterial small subunit ribosomal RNA", at positions 28 to 508 of the family's 1533-position model. The record is from RNAcentral.